UCUGUUUUGUCUGAUGCAAAGCAACUUCCUUGAUCCUGGUAGUCGCUCUAUCAUCUCGUGAUUCUAUCAUCUUGAGAAGCAUUUCUUUCAUCCUUAUGAAUCCUACAAAUCAAGUCACUCCAUUGCUUGUGAGGUGUAGCCAAGAAGAAGACUAAAGUGUUGAAAUCACAGAAGACUAAAGUAUUGAAAUCUUCAUAUGAGUCUCACUUUUUUUAAAUCAAGUCGUCCCAUCGCCUGUGAGGUGUAGCUAAGAUACAACUUCAGUAUUCAGCAAGAUUAAAUAGCCAAGAAGAAGAGAGUGUAGUGUGGCCCUUCCUGGCACCUCCUCUAAGCUAAGCAUAAAGUGUUGUGAUACAAGUCUCAUUUUUUUUAAGAACAAGAAGAAGAAGGCGAAGGUGUAGUGUGUAGCCGUGCUCGUAGGGUCGCCCGCUGGGGAUUUCUUCUACCGAUACAAUAGUUUUCAAUUUCCUUACUGUACGUGUGUCUGGACCUUGGAUUCUUCUGGCUGUUUUUGAUAUGAUUCUCUCUUUCCCUGUGCAGGUAUGAAGGUGUACAAAUCUUGCCCAUGAACCCACUCUUCUUGGUAAUAAUCCUACUCUAUUGUCAUAGUUUUUCUUUUUUCAAGAAAGUAUGCUAGUUGUAGAUAGUUGAUUUAAACAAAGGAAUAGUCAAGAUAAACACCUCUAGCACUGACGGGGCAGUGCAUACUGAUCUUAGCAUCGACCAGUAAGCUUACCAGUGGUGCAAAGCUUAGCAUUACUAACACAGCUAAAUAAAUGUGAUGCGGCUGCUCUCAACGGACCACAUGCACCAUCCGUAACACCAAGUUGCUCAAUUCCUUACUGAACUAAGACUAGAGCUGUUUGUAAGCAAUCUCUAAGGAUCCACCACACGGUUUACAAAACGUUAGCACGCAGAUGCAGAUUAACAGAGCAGAAAAUAGUUCACUGGGUAUUCAAAAUUGCCGAUCAAGACAUUCUCUUGUAUGCUGGUAGCAAUUCUCUAGAAGUUGAUACCUUCAUCCUGCAACCACAAAGAGAAUACAGUUUUACUUUUAGGAAAAAUUCUUGUGAAUACUGAAGUUGUCAACUUCAUUAACCAGAUAGAUGAAAAAUACAGUAGGAUGUGCAGCAGCAGUUGUUGUGCACCACACCAUUUGCAUAAAGUGCAGACUAAGUUUGUUUAUACUCAGCUUGUAGUUAUAGUUAUAGGUUUUGUCUACGCCUAAUCAUUUCAAGUGCAACCGCUGUCACAGAAUGAUUUAAUGAGGCAAUACCCUGAUUCUGCACCUAUUUCCAAGAUUCUUAUGAGGCAAUACCCUGUUCAAGCUAAUUAUACAAAAGCGUGUAUAUAACAUAUUCAUCCUUUUUUCAGAAUCAUGCAAACCUAAUCGUCCCUUUGCUUUUUUAAAGUCUGCUCAUGAUUUUGGGAUGCUCACAGGGUUCCAGCCAAAGCUGGGGCGUCCCAAGGUCCAUAGCUAGGCUAGGCUGUCCACAAAAUGAAUGGAGGGUGUGAAUGGCUCGGGCAGAUAAAAUAUAAUGUCCAGCAGCACAGGAUGAACUGUUAUGCAACACACCACUACACAAGGUAAAGUAAUACUCCCUCCGUCCGAAAAUACUUGUCGGAGAAAUGCAUAAAAAUGAAUGUAUCUAGAACUAAAAUACAUCUAGAUACAUUCAUUCCUCCGACGAGUAUUUCCGGACGGAGGGAGUACUACAGGAAAGGAUUACACUUUACUUGCUGUCGGGUGGUAUAUGAUACAUCAUACCUGUAGUGGUGGGGCACAUAUGAUUCUGUGCAUUGAUUAGUAUUCUGGUUUGCUAUCUCGAGACUACUUUUAGUGCCUAAUGCCUAUGGUUCUUAGUUAUUACUCCCUCCGCUCCAUAAUAUAGUGCCUAUAGAUUUUUUGAGAAGUCAAACUUUGACCAAGUUUGUAGAGAAAAAUAUUUAUAUCUAUAAUAGCAAAAAUAUAUAAUGUGAAACUACAUCUUAUGAUGAAUCUAGUGAUAUAUGUUUCGCACUCUAGACGUAAAUAUUUUUCUCCACAAACUUGGUCAAAGUUUUGUGAAGUUUGACUUUUCAAAAAAUCUAUAGGCACUACAUUAUGGAACGGAGGGAGUAGUACUCGCAAUUUAUAUUUGACGAGGUGUAUACCAUGUUAAGCUAGCGGCUAUAAAAGUUUUGCUAAUUUUAUCACAUAACCUUCAGGUUACAUAUGCAGUUUCCAUAAAUAAAACCUGAUGUGUAAAUCAUUUGUUGUGCAAGUAUCUAAAUUCGUAGUGAUGGAGAUUUUCGAAGCAAAUCAAAGGCUGGCUGGCUACCUUUCCCUUUAGUGUCCCCUUAGCACAUUGAGCACUCUACUGAUGACUGGCCCAACGCUUCACCUGAAAAAAUAAAUGAAAAAUGGCGUCAAGUAAUGAUGCAGGUCAGCUUUUUGCAGCAAUGCUUCAAGGAGAAUUGGUAAAGAAUAAUCUUUCCACCCUUCUGGGAUUUUAUCAUGAUUCAGUCUGCACAUAGAGUAUCCUAUUCCUAUCUGCCACAUUCAAUCAUCUAGAGUAGGAUACAAUGUUCAUACUUUGUAUACAACAAUUAUCUGUCACUAUAAAUGUAGAUGAAGAUUUAAUAUACUUGGCUUCAGUUGUCCAAUUGUGUCAUUGUAUAAAAUACUCCCUCCGUUCCUAAAUAUAAGUCUUUUUGGAGAUUUCAAUAUGAACCACAUACGGAUGUAUAUAGAUGUAGUUUAGAGUGUAGAUUCACUCAUUUUGCUCCGUAUGUAGUCCAUAUUGGAAUAUCUAAAAAGACUUGUACUCCCUCCGUUCCAAAAUAUAGCGCGCCCACGCUUUUUGAGGUUCAACUUUGACCAUAAAUUUAACCCACGAGACCGACUGCGGCGGGAUCAAAAAUUAUAUAAUUAAAAACUUUUUUUGAAUACGAAUUCAUUGGUAUAAUUUUUUCGCCCGCCGCAGUCGGUCUUGUUGAUUGAAUUAAUGGUCAAAGUUGAAGCACGGAAACCGAGGACGCGCUAUAUUUUGGAACGGAGGGAGUAUUUAGGAACGGAGGGAGUAGAACUGUAUGUAGUAUAUUCAGUUUUUCAAUUGUUAUUUAAUUAAUCUAGUGAUUUGUGCAAGGGCAUGAGGUGUUAGAACUCGUUUGCAGGUUGAGGGAAGUAUCAUCAGCUACUCACGAGAGCUCCGAUUCUUAGGCCCUUGACCCUGAUCCCCAUGUUAGCAAUCUCAUUGCGUCUGGUUGAACUUUGCUUUAAAUCAAGUCUGCACAGGAGAGGGAAAUUCUGUAAAAAUGGUUGUUUGUAUGUUUGUAAAUCUUGCAAUUUUCAUUUUAUUUUGCACUCGUCUACGUACUUGUGCUCUCGGACAUGUGAUUCCAUUUGGGGCAUGGGCACGGUUUCAUUGCAGGCAGGGCAAUUGGACUUUAGGUGUUCCCAUAACAGUCUCGCUUGCUCUCUCUUCUCGAUAUACGCAGCCUCCGCCCUGCAGAGACAGACUUUGUACUGUUACCAAGACGCAGUGGAGAGAGGCAAAGAGCAGUGUAUUCUUUAACAAAGGCACAGUGCAUCCAACACAAUUUAGUAGCUAGAAAAAACUAAUCAUUAAUUAGU
Molecule: long non-coding RNA, 3616 nt
Filed under: Triticum aestivum (bread wheat)
Lineage: Eukaryota; Viridiplantae; Streptophyta; Magnoliopsida; Poales; Poaceae
Description: long non-coding RNA (TAES_LNC011471)
Rfam family: MIR1120/MIR1122 microRNA precursor family (bases 1593-1717)
Source: RNAcentral